GCGGAUUAGGGAUAGUAACGGCAUCCUUUUUUGAAGUAUGAGAAAAAGAUAUAGUGGAUAGCCCGACCCCAA
Molecule: small RNA, 72 nt
Rfam family: Flavo-1 RNA
Source: Rfam